This 90-nucleotide small RNA is filed under the name Nonlabens sp. Hel1_33_55. RNAcentral's name for it is "Flavo-1 RNA". The stretch from base 12 to 90 matches the Rfam family "Flavo-1 RNA", at positions 9 to 76 of the family's 76-position model. The record is from RNAcentral. Lineage: Bacteria; Pseudomonadati; Bacteroidota; Flavobacteriia; Flavobacteriales; Flavobacteriaceae.
UAAACGCGUGAGCGAUAGUAGCGGAAAUCCUUUUUUUGAGAUUGCCUUUAGCAUGUCAAGAAAAGAUUGAAGCGAAUAGCGCGACCCCUA